GGAUGGAGGAAUACUUACCAAGCAAAUGGAGAGGGAAAAAGCAGGGGUUGCAAUCCUAGCCUCUGAUAAAAAGGACUUUAUACCAACAAAGACAAAAGAGACAAAGAAGGGCAUUACAUAAUGGUAGAAGGAUCACUGCAACAAGAAGAACUAACGAUCCUAAAUAUAUACGCACCCAAUACAGG
Sapajus apella (tufted capuchin) is the source of this 185-nucleotide long non-coding RNA. RefSeq lists it as uncharacterized. The transcript is spliced from 3 exons. Lineage: Eukaryota; Metazoa; Chordata; Mammalia; Primates; Cebidae. The record is from RefSeq and is a predicted model, not a curated record.